RNAcentral lists this unclassified non-coding RNA (22 nucleotides) under Dictyostelium discoideum. Lineage: Eukaryota; Evosea; Eumycetozoa; Dictyosteliales; Dictyosteliaceae. The record is from RNAcentral.
GUUAUACUUGGGUGAGAGUGGU